Molecule: small nuclear RNA, 100 nt
Organism: Sarcophilus harrisii (Tasmanian devil)
Lineage: Eukaryota; Metazoa; Chordata; Mammalia; Dasyuromorphia; Dasyuridae
Source: Ensembl
UGUUGCUUCGGCAGCAUGUAUACUGAAAAUGGAACAAAACAAAUUAACAUGAGCCCUGCCCAAGGGUGACAUGUGAAGUCGCGAAAUGAUCCACAUUUAG